Molecule: ribosomal RNA, 253 nt
Filed under: uncultured bacterium
Lineage: Bacteria
Description: partial 16S ribosomal RNA
Rfam family: Bacterial small subunit ribosomal RNA
Source: RNAcentral
UACGGGGGGUGCAAACGUUGUUCGGAAUCACUGGGCGUAAAGCGCACGUAGGCGGCUUGUUAAGUCAGGGGUGAAAUCCUGGAGCUCAACUCCAGAACUGCCUUUGAUACUGGCGAGCUUGAGUCCGGGAGAGGUGAGUGGAACUGCGAGUGUAGAGGUGAAAUUCGUAGAUAUUCGCAAGAACACCAGUGGCGAAGGCGGCUCACUGGCCCGGUACUGACGCUGAGGUGCGAAAGCGUGGGGAGCAAACAGG